Molecule: non-coding RNA, 353 nt
Organism: Lupinus albus (white lupine)
Lineage: Eukaryota; Viridiplantae; Streptophyta; Magnoliopsida; Fabales; Fabaceae
Source: the annotation of a GenBank genome assembly
UCUUCCUUUUUAAUUUUCUUCCUAGAAAAUCAAAGAAAUAUUAAUGGGUGUUUCACUAUUCUAACUUUGUAUUUUAGGAAUAAGCACCUUGAUUGGAUGUCUCUAUCAUAUUCUUCCGAAUAUGCUUACAAGUAGAUUAAGGAAGGUGCUCAAGAAGAACACAAGUCUGAUUGAGAAAAGGGAAGUUUGUUGGUAAUACUGGCAAGGAAGAAGAAUGAUUUGAAUGUGUAAGAUAAAUAUUUAAGAACGGUUACACAGAUCUUUUGCACUAUUUGACGAUGCUCAAGAUGUUAGGUGGUUAGAUAUUUACGAGUUAAAGAUAGUUUGUUAACUUUGUAUCAUUCAUUUUUGCU